This is a microRNA precursor of Gossypium arboreum, 145 nucleotides long. It matches the Rfam family "MIR7502 microRNA precursor family". NCBI's taxonomy places the organism in Eukaryota, Viridiplantae, Streptophyta, Magnoliopsida, Malvales, Malvaceae. The record is from Rfam.
UGUUAAAAUUUUUAUCCAUUUUUACUAAUAAGAACCGAUGUGGUUAACGAAAUAACUAAAUAGUUACAAGCGAUAUAUUUCAUGUAUCUCAUGCUAAUGUAUAGAGAUCAAUUUUCAACAGUAAAAAUGGAUAAAAUUUUUAACA